AGUGAACGCUGGCGGUAGGCCUAACACAUGCAAGUCGAACGGCAGCACAGUAAGAGCUUGCUCUUACGGGUGGCGAGUGGCGGACGGGUGAGGAAUACAUCGGAAUCUACUUUUUCGUGGGGGAUAACGUAGGGAAACUUACGCUAAUACCGCAUACGACCUACGGGUGAAAGCAGGGGAUCUUCGGACCUUGCGCGAUUGAAUGAGCCGAUGUCGGAUUAGCUAGUUGGCGGGGUAAAGGCCCACCAAGGCGACGAUCCGUAGCUGGUCUGAGGGGAUGAUCGGCCACGUGAGAACUGAGCCACGGUCCACUCCCCCGCGGGGCACACGUGGGGGGUAGUUUGGAAAGGGGGCCGAGGUGUCAGCCCCCCAUACCGCGAUGGAGAAGAAGCCCUUCGGUUUACAAACCCCUUUUGUGUGAAAAAAAAAGGAGCAGGUUAAUACCCCCGUUUUCUGGCGGUACCAUAAGAAAAAGCCCCGGCUCAAUUCG
This 490-nucleotide ribosomal RNA is filed under the name uncultured bacterium. RNAcentral describes it as "partial 16S ribosomal RNA". It matches the Rfam family "Bacterial small subunit ribosomal RNA", at positions 29 to 505 of the family's 1533-position model. The record is from RNAcentral.